Molecule: non-coding RNA, 205 nt
Filed under: Gottschalkia purinilytica
Lineage: Bacteria; Bacillati; Bacillota; Tissierellia; Tissierellales; Gottschalkiaceae
Description: Clostridium purinilyticum T-box sequence
Rfam family: T-box leader
About the family: Uncharged tRNA acts as the effector for transcription antitermination of genes in the T-box leader family. T-boxes are found upstream of many aminoacyl-tRNA synthetase genes and some amino acid biosynthetic genes usually in Gram-positive bacteria. The anticodon of a specific tRNA base pairs to a specifier sequence within the T-box motif, and the NCCA acceptor tail of the tRNA base pairs to a conserved bulge in the T-box antiterminator hairpin.
Source: RNAcentral
UUAUAUGCAAUGAAAGGAAAUAGUAGAUACAUUGAUAUCUUAAGAGAGUCAAUGGUAGGUGAGAAUUGAUGUUAUUGAGUAUCGAAUCCGUCCUAGAGCAUUUUAUCGAAGAGAUAAAACCCCAGCAGUGGGAUAUUCUGCACAGAGUGAACUUUUAUAUAAAGGUUAACUAGGGUGGCAACGCGGGCAAUCUCUCGUCCCUAAU